CAACUGCGGCAAAUGAUCGCGGCUUAGUAUGAUCUUUCAUAGUAAGGUGAGGAAAGUCCGGGCUUCACAGGGCAGGAUGCCGGAUAACGUCCGGUGGAGGCGACUCCAAGGCCAGUGCAACAGAAAUAUACCGCCGGCAAAGAUUUCUUUGUUCCGGUAAGGGUGGAAAGGCGGUUUAAGAGACCACCGCCUCCGAGGUAACGAGGAGGGCACAUGUAAACCCCAUCCGAAGCAAGACCAAACAGAGAACGACAGACUUGCCCGGUCUGUUCUCAGGUAGGUCGCCUGAGGCUGUCGGUAACGACAGUCCUAGAUAGAUGAUCAUUCGUACUGUCAUGAGAAUGGCAGCGCCGACAUAACCCGGCUUAUCGCUGCGGUUGCCAU
Molecule: RNase P RNA, 384 nt
Filed under: Lachnospiraceae bacterium
Lineage: Bacteria; Bacillati; Bacillota; Clostridia; Lachnospirales; Lachnospiraceae
Description: RNase P RNA component class A
Rfam family: Bacterial RNase P class A
About the family: Ribonuclease P (RNase P) is a ubiquitous endoribonuclease, found in archaea, bacteria and eukarya as well as chloroplasts and mitochondria. Its best characterised activity is the generation of mature 5'-ends of tRNAs by cleaving the 5'-leader elements of precursor-tRNAs. Cellular RNase Ps are ribonucleoproteins.
Source: RNAcentral